RNAcentral lists this ribosomal RNA (445 nucleotides) under uncultured bacterium. RNAcentral describes it as "bacterial SSU rRNA". It matches the Rfam family "Bacterial small subunit ribosomal RNA", at positions 28 to 507 of the family's 1533-position model. The record is from RNAcentral.
GAUGAACGCUGGCGGAUGCCUAANACAUGCAAGUCGUACGAGAGUUUUUAACUCUAGUGGCGGACGGGUGAGUAACACGUGAGAAUUUACCUUUAGGAGGGGGGAUAACAAUUGGAACGAAUGCUAAUACCCCAUAUGCUUUUGAGUGAAAUGGAUUUAUAAUUAUCUGCCUAAAGAAAAGCUCGCGGCUGAUUAGCUUGUUGGUAAGGUAAGAGCUUACCAAGGCGACGAUCAGUAUCUGGUUUGAGAGGACGAUCAGACACACUGGAACUGAGACACGGUCCAGACUCCUACGGGAGGCAGCAGUGGGGAAUUUUCCGCAAUGGGCGAAAGCCUGACGGAGCAAUACCGCGUGAGGGAAGACUGCCUAUGGGUUGUAAACCUCUUUUUUCAGGGAGGAAUAAAAUGACGUGUACCUGAAGAAUAAGCAUCGGCUAACUCCGUG